CCUCCUUCGUUGAGAGGGUUUGGUUCGCAGAGACAAAGCCCUGGCUUCAGUUUGUUUCUAACCAGCUGGUUGGGGGGCAGCCAUGGGUUGAUGGAGAUUUUAGCGGAUUUGAUUUUCUUAAUGGGGAACAAAUAUUUGAGGUUUUAAUUUUCCUUUGGUUAAGCAUUUUCACUUAAACAACGCGCACGAAGCACCCAGCAACAAACACCUCAUAUCAAUAUAACAAAGAUUGUGGUGAAGAUUCGAAUAUGUUGGGGCUUCCAUCUUUUCUACACCCUUCGACUCAGGCUUCCAUCUUUCUUCCUUGCGAAUAUUUGCAUCGUUUGUCUUCAGGUUCUUGAGUAAUCCCUAUUGCUGUAUAAGAGAAGUUGAGGUAUUUAAAUUUCAGAACAUAUUGGGUUCUAUCAGGAAGGGAAUUGAAUCUCACAGAUUAGCUCAGGGUGUUAAAAGGUUCUUAAGGGAAAGGCCAUCCAUGGUUGAAGAAGGGCAAUGGAUAUACCAUACACCCACCUAAAUGAGCAAAGGAAGAUUGAUGUAACAAUUAGCAGGGAGUUGCUAUAGGAUUCUAUGCAAUGAAGUGUUUCCACUACUUCAACAACAAAAUAAAUGAGGUGGGAACGAAGAUUGCUGCAUAAUUGAAAGAACAGAGGAAAUCUGAUUAUUCAGGAGCUGAAUAUGGUCAUUAAGUCUUCAUGCUCAACAAAAUCACCCCACUCUGUAAACCGGAAUUUGUAUGAAGUUAGGUUUCAAAUAUGUUAAUGAGAUAUGAGUACAUGCUGUUUUGUGUAGUAUCCUGAUAUUUGUAGGUAUUUUUAAUGGCGAUUUUAUAUGGUUAAUUUUACUUAAAAAUA
Molecule: long non-coding RNA, 851 nt
Organism: Prunus dulcis (almond)
Lineage: Eukaryota; Viridiplantae; Streptophyta; Magnoliopsida; Rosales; Rosaceae
Exons: 5
Source: RefSeq, a predicted model, not a curated record